RNAcentral lists this ribosomal RNA (254 nucleotides) under uncultured bacterium. RNAcentral's name for it is "partial 16S ribosomal RNA". It matches the Rfam family "Bacterial small subunit ribosomal RNA", at positions 524 to 776 of the family's 1533-position model. The record is from RNAcentral.
UACGAAGGGGGGCUAGCGUUGCUCGGAAUCACUGGGCGUAAAGGGUGCGUAGGCGGGUCUUUAAGUCAUACGUGAAAUCCCUCAGCUUAACUGGGGAACUGCGUGUGAUACUGGAUGGCUUGGAUUUGGGAGAGGGAUGCGGAAUUCCUGGUGUAGCGGUGAAAUGCGCAGAUAUCAGGAGGAACACCGGUGGCGAAGGCGGUUCUCUGGGCAUUACCUGACGCUGAGGAGCGAAAGUGUGGGGAGCGAACAGG